AAUAUUAUUAGCAUUCCAAUAUGUUUGCAGCAUUAAUUGUGCUGCUUGUACCCAUAGAAAUUCGUUAAGGAACAGCAUAUUCUAAUUUGAUAUGUUCUAUCCCUCCCCUUGUUUUGUCUUUCGAAGUCUUCUUAUGAUCACCGCUCGAUAAAAAAAAGAAGAAAAGCUGCUGGGCAAACAUGAAGGAGCCAGGGGGAGAGAAAAGAAGAAAAAGAAGGCAAAAACUGCAAUGUUAACAUCGCCAGCACUACCCCACUGGCAUGCACUAUCUUAUAAAUAAUCCUGUUGUAUAACCUCUUCUGAACGGGCA
This 310-nucleotide long non-coding RNA is filed under the name Populus trichocarpa (black cottonwood). Its description in RNAcentral is "long non-coding RNA (PTRI_LNC000679)". Lineage: Eukaryota; Viridiplantae; Streptophyta; Magnoliopsida; Malpighiales; Salicaceae. The record is from RNAcentral.